CUUGAUAUGUGAAUAAAAAACAACAUUUAAUGACUACCCUCUAGCCAUCAAUCCUUUCUUUCCCCCCCCCAAUUAAUCAUUUCUUUUUGGAAUUCAGAAUUACUACACAGAACAUGUUCAGCAUUGCGCAGUUUGGUUGGUUGGUGGUUCACGUACAUUUCAGCGCAGAGUUCAGGGAUUUAGAAAAUCACCUGAUCGCCC
This is a non-coding RNA of Pelobates cultripes (western spadefoot toad), 201 nucleotides long. NCBI's taxonomy places the organism in Eukaryota, Metazoa, Chordata, Amphibia, Anura, Pelobatidae. The record is from the annotation of a GenBank genome assembly.